UACAGAGGGUGCGAGCGUUAAUCGGAAUUACUGGGCGUAAAGCGUGCGUAGACGGCUAUUUAAGUCGGGUGUGAAAGCCCCGGGCUCAACCUGGGAAUUGCAUUCGAGACUGAAUAGCUAGGGUACGGUAGAGGGAAGUGGAAUUUCCGGUGUAGCGGUGAAAUGCGUAGAUAUCGGAAGGAACAUCAGUGGCGAAAGCGACUUCCUGGACCAGUACCGACGUUCAGGCACGAAAGCGUGGGGAUCAAACAGG
RNAcentral lists this ribosomal RNA (253 nucleotides) under uncultured bacterium. RNAcentral describes it as "partial 16S ribosomal RNA". It matches the Rfam family "Bacterial small subunit ribosomal RNA", at positions 524 to 776 of the family's 1533-position model. The record is from RNAcentral.